GGUUCUAUAGUUUAGUUGGUUAAAGCAUCCGUUUCAUACGCGGAAGAUCGGAGGUUCGAGACCUCCUAGAGCCA
Molecule: non-coding RNA, 74 nt
Organism: Alosa alosa (allis shad)
Lineage: Eukaryota; Metazoa; Chordata; Actinopteri; Clupeiformes; Clupeidae
Source: the annotation of a RefSeq genome assembly